CAUGUUGACAAAAGGACAAAGACCAAGGCCACCAAGAAGCACUCUCCAAACGUAAUAUUCAGUGUGUUUGCCACAUUGGACUAGGCACAGAUUCAGGAGUUCAAAGAGGCCUUUGACAUUAUUGAUCAGAAUAGAGAUUCUUUCAACAAGGAAGAUGUGCAUGAUAUGCUUGCUUCUCUCUUCAUCAGAAUCCAACUGAUGUAUACCAAGAUGCUGUAAGGAGUGAGGUUCUGGGCUUAUAAAUUUCACCACUGCCCUACUGUUUGGUGAGAAGUUAAAUAGCACAUAUCCUGAAGAUGUCAUCAGAAAUGCUUUAGCCUGCUUUGAUAAAGAAGCAACAGGAACCAUUCAGGAAGACUAUUUGAGAGAACUGCUGACAACAAUGGGAAGUGAAUGAGCUGUACAGAGAAGGUGCUAUUGACAAAAAAGGAAAUUUUAAUUACAUUGAGUUCACAUGUAGCCUUAAAUAUGGGGUGAAAGACAAAGAUGAUUGAA
This 495-nucleotide long non-coding RNA is filed under the name Homo sapiens (human). RNAcentral's name for it is "non-protein coding lnc-TOM1L1-9:1". Lineage: Eukaryota; Metazoa; Chordata; Mammalia; Primates; Hominidae. The record is from RNAcentral.